UACCUGCAGCUCGAGUGGUAACCGCUAUUAUUGGGCCUAAAGCGUCCGUAGCCGGUUUGGUAAAUAUCUGGGUAAAUCGUGAGGCUUAACUUCACGAAUUUCGGAUAGACUGCCAGACUUGGGAUCGGGGGAGGUCAGAGGUACUCCAGGGGUAGCGGUGAAAUGUUGUAAUCCUUGGAGGACCACCGGUAGCGAAGGCGUCUGACUAGAACGAGUCCGACGGUGAGGGACGAAGCCCUGGGGCGCAAACCGGAUUAGAGUACCCGGGUAGUCCAGGGUGUAAACGAUGUGGGCUUUGUAUUGGAGGUCCCACGGUGGGCGUCCAGUGCAGAAGAGAAGUUGUUAACGCCCACCGCCUGGGAAGGUACGGUCGCGAAGGCUGAAACUUAAAGGAAUUGGGCGGGGGAGCACAGCGAACGGGAGGAGCGGUGGCGGUUU
RNAcentral lists this ribosomal RNA (438 nucleotides) under uncultured archaeon. RNAcentral's name for it is "bacterial SSU rRNA". It matches the Rfam family "Archaeal small subunit ribosomal RNA", at positions 474 to 903 of the family's 1478-position model. The record is from RNAcentral.